RNAcentral lists this ribosomal RNA (252 nucleotides) under uncultured bacterium. RNAcentral's name for it is "partial 16S ribosomal RNA". It matches the Rfam family "Bacterial small subunit ribosomal RNA", at positions 524 to 776 of the family's 1533-position model. The record is from RNAcentral.
UACGGAGGGUGCGAGCGUUAUCCGGACUUAUUGGGUUUAAAGGGUGCGUAGGCGGACGCUUAAGUCAGCGGUAAAAUUGCGGGGCUCAACCUCGUCGAGCCGUUGAAACUGGGUGCCUUGAGUGGGCGAGAAGUACGCGGAAUGCGUGGUGUAGCGGUGAAAUGCAUAGAUAUCACGCAGAACUCCGAUUGCGAAGGCAGCGUACCGGCGCCCAACUGACGCUGAAGCACGAAGGCGUGGGUAUCGAACAGG